UACAACUUGAAGAGUGUUGUCGGGUUUAA
Molecule: non-coding RNA, 29 nt
Filed under: Mus musculus (house mouse)
Lineage: Eukaryota; Metazoa; Chordata; Mammalia; Rodentia; Muridae
Source: RNAcentral